CGGCUGGUGUUAAGAAGCCCUCAUAAUGCAGAGGAGACAUACCUCCAGAAUGUAGCUGGGGUUCCGAUGCGGGUGCUCUCAACCUCAACCUUCUUUGAGCAGAAGUGGCUGGUUACUCGAGUAGAUGCCACGGCUGUUUGUCCAACACCAGAGGCAGUGGCCUUUACUCCAGAAGUGAUCACCUGGUACAUGCCCAAGCACA
Long non-coding RNA from Oncorhynchus kisutch (coho salmon), 202 nucleotides. RefSeq lists it as uncharacterized. The record is from RefSeq and is a predicted model, not a curated record. NCBI's taxonomy places the organism in Eukaryota, Metazoa, Chordata, Actinopteri, Salmoniformes, Salmonidae. The transcript is spliced from 3 exons.